UACGGGGGGGGCAAGCGUUGUUCGGAAUUACUGGGCGUAAAGGGCUCGUAGGCGGCCAACUAAGUCAGACGUGAAAUCCCUCGGCUUAACCGGGGAACUGCAUCUGAUACUGGAUGGCUUGAGUUCGGGAGAGGGAUGUGGAAUUCCAGGUGUAGCGGUGAAAUGCGUAGAUAUCUGGAGGAACACCGGUGGCGAAGGCGGCAUCCUGGACCAAUUCUGACGCUGAGGAGCGAAAGCCAGGGGAGCAAACGGG
RNAcentral lists this ribosomal RNA (253 nucleotides) under uncultured bacterium. RNAcentral's name for it is "partial 16S ribosomal RNA". It matches the Rfam family "Bacterial small subunit ribosomal RNA", at positions 524 to 776 of the family's 1533-position model. The record is from RNAcentral.